RNAcentral lists this ribosomal RNA (94 nucleotides) under Enterococcus casseliflavus. RNAcentral's name for it is "partial 16S ribosomal RNA". Lineage: Bacteria; Bacillati; Bacillota; Bacilli; Lactobacillales; Enterococcaceae. The record is from RNAcentral.
UUAUGAGAGUUUGAUCCUGGCUCAGGACGAACGCUGGCGGCGUGCCUAAUACAUGCAAGUCGAACGCUUUUUCUUUCACCGGAGCUUGCUCCAC